AUACGUAGGUGGCAAGCGUUGUCCGGAAUUAUUGGGCGUAAAGCGCAUGUAGGCGGUUUGGUAAGUCGGUCGUGAAAAUGCGGUGCUUAACGCCGUAUGGCGAUCUAAACUGCUGAACUUUCGGGCAGGAGAGGAAAGGGGAACUCCCAGUGUAGCGGGUGAAUGCGUAGAUAUUGGGAAGAACACCGGUGGCGAAGGCGCCUUUCUGGACUGUGUCUGACGCUCAGAUGCGAAAGCCAGGGUAGCGAACGGGAUUAGAUACCCCGGUAGUCCUGGCCGUAAACGAUGGGUACUAGGUGUGGGAGGUAUCGACUCCUUCCGUGCCGGAGUUAACGCAAUAAGUACCCCGCCUGGGGAGUACGGCCGCAAGGCUUAAACUCAAAUGAAUUGACGGGG
This 396-nucleotide ribosomal RNA is filed under the name uncultured bacterium. RNAcentral's name for it is "partial 16S ribosomal RNA". It matches the Rfam family "Bacterial small subunit ribosomal RNA", at positions 523 to 918 of the family's 1533-position model. The record is from RNAcentral.